UACGGAGGUUCCAAGCGUUGUUCGGAAUUACUGGGCGUAAAGGGAGCGCAGGCGGACAGGUCAGUUUAAAGUGGAAUCCCAGGGCUCAACCCUGGACGUGCUUUGGAUACUGCCUGUCUUGAGUUCGUGAGAGGAAAGUGGAAUUCAGGGUGUAGCGGUGAAAUGCUUAGAUAUCCUGAGGAACACCAGUGGCGAAAGCGACUUUCUGGCACGAAACUGACGCUGAGGCUCGAAAGCAUGGGUAGCGAAC
RNAcentral lists this ribosomal RNA (250 nucleotides) under uncultured bacterium. RNAcentral's name for it is "partial 16S ribosomal RNA". It matches the Rfam family "Bacterial small subunit ribosomal RNA", at positions 524 to 773 of the family's 1533-position model. The record is from RNAcentral.